This 606-nucleotide ribosomal RNA is filed under the name Triticum aestivum (bread wheat). RNAcentral's name for it is "partial small subunit ribosomal RNA". The record is from RNAcentral. Lineage: Eukaryota; Viridiplantae; Streptophyta; Magnoliopsida; Poales; Poaceae.
AUGCCGAUGGGGUCCAACGAGGCGGACAAGCCGCUACGGCGGAUCGACGCGUCGUUCGAGCAGCUCGCGGCCAUCGCCAAGCAGCAGCAGGAGCCCGUGAUGGCGGCGGGGGACUUCUCACGCGCCUGCUCCAACGUCUCCGUCCUCUUCUGCUGCCUCGGCAUCGCCUUCAAGUUUGUGGAGAUGGACUACGUAGCCAAGGCAAGCGGCCGCUCCUUCGCCCCCUCUCCUCCCCCGCUACCUGCUCUGCUGUUCGAGAAGCUGCAACCUGCAGAACGCAAGAAAGGGCUGAUGUGUGUUGCAUCCUCGCCAUUUCUGGACAUCAAGGCGCCGCCGGAUUCGAGGGUGGAGCCUGAGCCUCCACUGGAGCAUGGAUCAGCCGUGCAGGAGGUGGAGCUCCGCAUGGAUCACGACUUGGUCGUCAUGGGGGCCUGGACCGUCAAGCUCGCGGGCGAGAUGGACGGCCUCGGCAAUAGAGACGCGCGUGAGAUCCUGGGGUUGACCAAUCCAUGGGGCACCAGAUCUUCUCUCGGGGUCGCCUGCUGUAGUCAUACUGUCGCUGGAUCUCCUCCCCCUCUCUCUCUAUGUUUUUCUGCCAAUAGCUAG